Molecule: small RNA, 532 nt
Filed under: Histoplasma capsulatum
Lineage: Eukaryota; Fungi; Ascomycota; Eurotiomycetes; Onygenales; Ajellomycetaceae
Also listed under: 1 other name
Description: hypothetical RNA
Source: RNAcentral
CCUCGCUCAUUCUACCGAUCUCUUCUCGCCAGUAAUUGACGAUGGCGGUAAAGUCGAGGCAUGCGGCUGCAACUGUCAUAAUGCUGUUUCAAUUCAUCCUCCAUAAAAUCUACAAUUCUCGAUCUGACUUUGAAACGAAGAAGCCAUUGAGCUGAAUAAGUGCGCGUCAGCGUCACCAGUUUGACAACGGGGUUUUCAAAUAGGCAAGGAUGUCAAGCUACAAUCACCGUAUGUCACCGUUCACUGCUGGUCAAUGGCCCUCCUGAUUUUAGUUGUUACCACACGCGGUUGGGGGUAAGAUCUUUGUCAUUGUAGACAUCUAUCAAACUUUACACUCUGAGUAGCAGAGGUGUGGUGCACAUGGUUUCUUGGGUCUUCUGGCAACUGAAAACGGACAAUUGUGAAACAUGUUUCAAGCAAAGAGCAAUAUGCGGUGUCAGGAAUCACACCAUGUAGAAGUCUGUUAUAAGGAGAAUCCUCUGAAGAAGGAUCUUCCAACCCCUUCUGUGCACUCCAGUUCACGUUUCCCAAC